Molecule: ribosomal RNA, 708 nt
Filed under: uncultured bacterium
Lineage: Bacteria
Description: bacterial SSU rRNA
Rfam family: Bacterial small subunit ribosomal RNA
Source: RNAcentral
CCCUUAGAGUUUGAUCCUGGCUCAGGACGAACGCUGGCGGCGCGCUUAACACAUGCAAGUCGAGCGAGAACCAGUCCUUCGGGACUGGGGACAGCGGCGAACGGGUGAGUAACACGUGGGUAAUCUGCCCUCGGCACCGGAAUAGCCCGGGGAAACCCGGAUUAAUGCCGGAUGGCCUCUCUGCCCCUCGGGGCGGCGAGAAAAGGUAGCUUCGGCCUCCGGCCGAGGAUGAGCCCGCGGCCGAUUAGCUUGUUGGUGGGGUAAUGGCUCACCAAGGCGACGAUCGGUAGCUGGUCUGAGAGGACGAUCAGCCACACUGGGACUGAGACACGGCCCAGACUCCUACGGGAGGCAGCAGUGGGGAAUCUUGCGCAAUGGGCGAAAGCCUGACGCAGCGACGCCGCGUGCGGGAAGAAGGCCUUCGGGUUGUAAACCGCUUUCAGGAGGGACGAAGCCACUCGGGUUAAUAGCCCAGAGGGUGACGGUACCUCCGGAAGAAGCCCCGGCUAACUACGUGCCAGCAGCCGCGGUAAUACGUAGGGGGCUAGCGUUGUCCGGAUUUAUUGGGCGUAAAGAGCGUGUAGGCGGCCAGGUAGGUCUGGUGUGAAAACUCGAGGCUUAACCUCGAGAUGUCAUCGGAAACCAUCUGGCUAGAGUCCGGAAGAGGAAAGUGGAAUUCCUGGGUGUAGCGGUGAAAUGCGCAGAUAU